CUGACUUGACAGGUGGGGAAGCGGUU
RNAcentral lists this non-coding RNA (26 nucleotides) under Homo sapiens (human). Lineage: Eukaryota; Metazoa; Chordata; Mammalia; Primates; Hominidae. The record is from RNAcentral.